RNAcentral lists this ribosomal RNA (429 nucleotides) under Gemmatimonadota bacterium. RNAcentral describes it as "Gemmatimonadetes bacterium partial 16S ribosomal RNA". It matches the Rfam family "Bacterial small subunit ribosomal RNA", at positions 355 to 776 of the family's 1533-position model. The record is from RNAcentral. Lineage: Bacteria; Pseudomonadati; Gemmatimonadota.
UAGGGAAUCUUCGGCAAUGGACGAAAGUCUGACCGAGCAACGCCGCGUGAGUGAAGAAGGUUUUCGGAUCGUAAAACUCUGUUGUUAGAGAAGAACAAGGACGUUAGUAACUGAACGUCCCCUGACGGUAUCUAACCAGAAAGCCACGGCUAACUACGUGCCAGCAGCCGCGGUAAUACGUAGGUGGCAAGCGUUGUCCGGAUUUAUUGGGCGUAAAGCGUGCGCAGGCGGUUUCUUAAGUCUGAUGUGAAAGCCCCCGGCUCAACCGGGGAGGGUCAUUGGAAACUGGGAGACUUGAGUGCAGAAGAGGAGAGUGGAAUUCCAUGUGUAGCGGUGAAAUCCGUAGAUAGAUGGAGGAACACCAGUGGCGAAGGCGGCUCUCUGGUCUGUAACUGACGCUGAGGCUCGAAAGCGUGGGGAGCAAACAGG